RNAcentral lists this transfer RNA (52 nucleotides) under Loxosceles sp. 3 GJB-2008. RNAcentral's name for it is "tRNA-Leu". The record is from RNAcentral. Lineage: Eukaryota; Metazoa; Arthropoda; Arachnida; Araneae; Sicariidae.
UAAUUAUACAUAUUGGCAGAAUAAUGCGAUAGAUUUAGAAUCAAUACAAACC